AAACCAACAGGGAUUGCCCCAGUAGCGGCGAGUGAAGCGGCAAAAGCUCAGAUUUGGAAUCGCUUCGGCGAGUUGUGAAUUGCAGGUUGGCGCCUCUGCGGCGGCGGCGGUCCAAGUCCCUUGGAACAGGGCGCCAUUGAGGGUGAGAGCCCCGUGGGACCGUUUGCCUACGCUCUGAGGCCCUUCUGACGAGUCGAGUUGUUUGGGAAUGCAGCUCUAAGCGGGUGGUAAAUUCCAUCUAAGGCUAAAUACUGGCGAGAGACCGAUAGCGAACAAGUACUGUGAAGGAAAGAUGAAAAGCACUUUGAAAAGAGAGUGAAACAGCACGUGAAAUUGUUGAAAGGGAAGGGUAUUGCGCCCGACAUGGAGCGUGCGCACCGCUGCCCCUCGUGGGCGGCGCUCUGGGCGUGCUCUGGGCCAGCAUCGGUUUUUGCCGCGGGAGAAGGGCGGCGGGCAUGUAGCUCUUCGGAGUGUUAUAGCCUGCCGCCGGCGCCGCGAGCGGGGACCGAGGACUGCGACUUUUGUCUCGGAUGCUGGCACAACGGCGCAACACCGCCCGUCUUGAAACAUGGACCAAGGAGUCUAACGUCUAUGCGAGUGUUUGGGUGUGAAACCCCGGGCGCGUAAUGAAAGUGAACGUAGGUCGGACCGCUCCUCUCGGGGGGCGGGCACGAUCGACCGAUCCUGAUGUCUUCGGAUGGAUUUGAGUAAGAGCAUAGCUGUUGGGACCCGAAAGAUGGUGAACUAUGCCUGAAUAGGGUGAAGCCAGAGGAAACUCUGGUGGAGGCUCGUAGCGGUU
This 799-nucleotide ribosomal RNA is filed under the name Pichia fermentans. RNAcentral describes it as "partial 28S ribosomal RNA". It matches the Rfam family "Eukaryotic large subunit ribosomal RNA", at positions 62 to 885 of the family's 3401-position model. Lineage: Eukaryota; Fungi; Ascomycota; Pichiomycetes; Pichiales; Pichiaceae. The record is from RNAcentral.